UUAGCCUGCAGAAUGUAGGCAGAGGUGACAUUGCUCAUCGUGUCAACACUGACAAAUCAAGGAGAUGGGGCUCCGUGAUGGUGGAGAGAGGCGAAUCCAGACCUGGCUGAAUGGCCAGAUCCAAAGAGCAGAGCUGCUGCUGAGGUCAAUGCUGCUUUGGAGGGGACUCCUUACAGCAGACCCUCGGAGAUCUAGGGCCAGGACCGGCCCUUCAGCCGCUGCUUGACUGGAGUGGCUGCUGUGUUUGGUCCGGCAGGAGCCAGGAGGAGGCUUCUUCCGCUUCUAAAUCGCGUACCUUUGAUCUCCAGGGAUGCUGCAACUCUCUGGCACCUUGCAUAAGCACCUCUGUUCCAGCGGUUUCCAUCCUGGUGUCUCACAAGUGGUGAGCGCUUUCUUCGGCCAGGACCAGCUCAAUGUAGAGCUUGCUGCUGUGGCAUACCUUCUCCUCGCUUAGACUGGGAGCUCCUGGAAGGCUCUGCUGAUAUGGAGCUUGUCAACUGGCAGUGUCUGACCAGCAGCUCGAGCAUGCUCCUCCUUCAGCUCAUCCAGAAAUGCCAACCCUUCCAUUUGGGUCAGAUCACCAAUAGCUCUUGCCUUGAGCCACUGAAAAAGGUUGGAGCCCCAGAAAUAUGCUCCAGUGGGCGGAAUCCCAUGGCUCAGCUGGCAUCUUCAUUUCCUUAUAUUCUUCUGCCAUGGGGAUCCGCCAUGCUGAAAACUACCAGUACCCAUUCAGCCUCUCCCUCUCUACCUGCUCCUUCCCUACUGCCUACACGCAUUCCCCUGUCUCCCCUACCCUGAAAAGUUCUCACUUGGUCCUUCCAUCUCUACCCUUGCCCUGUAUCUCUCUGUCCUUUGUCACCAAACUCCUGGCAGAGGACGCCUACAAGGGGUGCCUCCUUUUCUCUCCUCUCACUCUCUUCUCAAGCCCUUCCAAUCUGGCUCUGGGUGUCAUCGUGCCACUGAAACAGCUCUCUCCAAAGUUGUGAAGGAUCUCGUGUAUUAAACCCCAAGGCCUCUUCUCAGUUCUCAUCCUCCUAGGCGUCUCUGCAGCCUCUGACGCUGUUGAUCACCCUCUUCUCUCUAGGUUUUCAGGAUAGCCUCUCUCCCGGGUCUCCUCCCCCCUCUCUGACCGCUCCUUCUCUGGCUCCUUGGCUGGAUCCUCCCUCAGAUCUUGCCUCCCACUGUAGGAGUCCCUCAGGGCUCUGUCCUGGGUCCCCUUCUCUUCUCCCUCUCUGCUUCCCUUAGGGAAUCUCAUCAGCUCCCAUGGAUUUAAUGACCGUCUCCAUGGUGCUGAUUCUCGAGUUUGUCUAUCCUGCCCCAGUCUCUGCUGACUUCCAGUCUCACAUCUCCAAAUGCCUUUCAGGCAUCUCGAACUGAACAUCCUCUUCAACUCCACGUGUCCCAAACCAAACGUCCAUCUUUCCCCCUCACCCUACCCCCCCCCACUCCUUCCCUAUUACUGUAAAGGACAACACCAUUCUCCCAGGCCCCCAGGUUCACAACCGAGAUGUCUUCUCUGAUACUAGCCUCACCUUGGUCUAGACCCUCAUCAGCUCACUACUGCAAUACCUGCUGGGCGGUCUGCCUGCUGCUGGUCUGUCCCCAGUCCAGUCUUACAGCCACAAAAGUGAUUUUCCGAAAGUGCAGGCCCAGCCAUGGCACAUGCACGCACACACGAGUGAGACACACCUUCUCCUGACUCCAGGCAUUUUCUCAGGCCUCUUGCAUGCCUGGAAUGCUCUCCCUCCUGGCCUCCCUGGCUCCCCACCCAUCUUUCCAGCUUUUUAAACUUCUGCCCACCCUCAGGCCCCUGUGAUCUGGCCUUCGAUGGGCCUUGUAAUGUGCCCCCUCCAUGAGGGCAGGAACUAUCUUACUUUUUCUAUCAGUGUCCUAACAGCAUAACGCUUGGCACACAGUAGGUUCUUAACAAAUGCUUUUUUCAUUCAUUCAUUCAUCGUGUCCCUGGCAGAGUAGGGGGUCACUUACUAAAACCUGCUUGAUUAUGACUCCUUCUAGGGGUUGACUGGACAUGGCCUGAUGGCUGAUUAGAGGCAGGCGCAGGGAGAGAAAGGAAGGAAUUAAAGGUGCCUCUGGGGUAGCGAGCCUGGGGAGUGGAAAGCCGGGGAUAGCUAAAGAGGCCGGCUUUGGAGUCAGGGGUUACAGUGGGGUCGGGGGGGGGCGGUUAGCCCCAAGCCUGGAUUUCAGCGGACGUUCUGAUUCUGCUGACCCGGGGCAUUUUGGGUCAGCCUUCUAAGAGGUUUCAGUUUCCUCACUUAUACAUUCAGGUCUCUGGCCUCCAAAGUCCUUCUGGACCCGUAUCCUACCAUCUCUUCAGUGUUUCCAUCUUUUGCCUUUCAUUCACCUUGGCAUCCCCAGCCCCCAGGGCAGGGCCUUGAACAUCACCCCAACACAGACCUAAGUUUGAUGAAUGACUGAGGGAGGGAGGGAGUGGAAAGUCAGUCUCUUCUAGGGUCUGUGGCUAGAAUAUUUAGAACCCAGGCCCUUCCUCCCCCUCACCUCCCUGAGGCUAGGGAUCUCCCAAAGGGAAUUUGUACCUCCUGGCUUUUAAACCAAAGUCCAAUUCGGUAUCUCCUCUCACUCCUCAAAUGCAGAUUAAUCUGUGGGUGAUCUGAUUAGAUUACGCGAGGUGGGGGACUUUGGCCUGGAGAACAACCACCAUGGCAUCCUUAUCUAAAAUCAAGUUCAUAGAAGCAUAUCAAUUUCUUUUUAAACCCUGAUAUACAGCAGUGACCAUCGGCUGGCUGGUCCCUUUCCCCUAUUGACCUUGCUUGGCACAGACCCACACCCUGAUGCCUGAUGGACGGGACGCCCAGACUCACCUAGCCCUAAGGGAGCCUGGAUUGCCAGGGCUGAAGCACCAUUUGGCUGUACCUUUC
Molecule: long non-coding RNA, 2897 nt
Organism: Trichosurus vulpecula (common brushtail)
Lineage: Eukaryota; Metazoa; Chordata; Mammalia; Diprotodontia; Phalangeridae
Exons: 3
Source: RefSeq, a predicted model, not a curated record